Long non-coding RNA from Orbicella faveolata, 690 nucleotides. The record is from RefSeq and is a predicted model, not a curated record. Lineage: Eukaryota; Metazoa; Cnidaria; Anthozoa; Scleractinia; Merulinidae.
AGCUCAAUGUCAAUUUCGCGUGGGUGUCUGCGUGGGAUCACGCGCAUACCACGCGUGGGGUUUGUUAAAAAGCUGAAAUCAACGUCUACGGUCGCGGUAUACCCAAGACUUGACAUCAAAGAGCCACACUGUACUUAUUAAAUAGUUAUUGUUCAGUGGUUCAAAACGCCUAUCGCUAGACAAGGAUAGGCCAGCGCGCGUGGAAGGGGGAUUCCCUUGCAAGAUCGUGUCACUGUGCGUGAGCUAAAGAACACCCGUGUUAAAAAGAACGCGCUUGUCUUAAACUAAAUAUGUCUAACAACGUAGAUAGGAAAGCCAUUUUGGAAAAAUAUUAAACAAAUUUACUUGAUAAAUAUGAUCUCACUAAUUAGUUUUCCUCUCGCACGUAAUUGUGACGUCAAAUUCGAUUGAUGAUCUUAUUGCAACUUACACCAAGAGAAGUCUUACCCAACGAAAAAUGACAAUUUGGCUUUUGAAAACUAAAGUUACUCUUGGAAGUGCGCUUCGAAAUGCAUUUCAGGACAAAGGGUGUCAAUUUUAAAGGGAUCAGCUUUUCUGAUCAAAAUGGACGUUGCCCUUCCCAGGUUGCGCCGGAAUCUGCUCAUCAUAGGAAAACAGAUUCGGAAACUUCCCUCAAGGAUUCGACGAGCAGUUAGACGAGGUCUGGAACGGGUUCUCGUCCACCUUAGA